RNAcentral lists this ribosomal RNA (330 nucleotides) under uncultured bacterium. Its description in RNAcentral is "bacterial SSU rRNA". It matches the Rfam family "Bacterial small subunit ribosomal RNA", at positions 568 to 898 of the family's 1533-position model. The record is from RNAcentral.
UGUGUAGGCGGUUUGGUAAGUCUGGUGUGAAAUCUCCCGGCUCAACUGGGAGGGUGCGCCGGAAACUGCCGGACUCGAGUGCGGGAGAGGAGAGUGGAAUUCCUGGUGUAGCGGUGAAAUGCGUAGAUAUCAGGAGGAACACCGGCGGUGUAGACGGCUCUCUGGACCGUAACUGACGCUGAAACACGAAAGCGUGGGUAGCAAACAGGAUUAGAUACCCUGGUAGUCCACGCCCUAAACGAUGCAUAUUUGGUGUGGGUCAUUCAGUUGAUCCGUGCCGGAGCUAACGCGUUAAAUAUGCCGCCUGGGGAGUACAGUCGCAAGGCUGAA